This 342-nucleotide unclassified non-coding RNA is filed under the name uncultured fungus. Its description in RNAcentral is "sequence contains ITS1". The stretch from base 1 to 107 matches the Rfam family "5.8S ribosomal RNA", at positions 49 to 154 of the family's 154-position model. The record is from RNAcentral. Lineage: Eukaryota; Fungi.
UGAAAUGCGAUAAUUAAUGUGAAUUGCAUUAUCUCGUGAAUCAUCGAGUCUUCGAACGCAUCUUGCACUUUUCAGGUCUCCUGGAAAGUAUACUUGUUUGAGUAUCAUAAACAUCUCUCAAAGAAACUUUUCUUUGGAAAUGAGACGUCAGAGGGCCUGUCUCUUUGUGUCUUUUAAUAUAUAUGCGGCGCGAUUUCACUCUUGUAGUGAAUGCCCAGUUACCAAAUGUGAGAUAAAUAUCGCACAAAGAGGUGUUGGGUCAAGCACUGCUACACUCAGUAUCUUUUGAUACAACCUUGAGUCAUUGAUCUCAAAUCAAGUAAGAUUACCCGCUGAACUUAA